CUGGAGCUCAAGGAGGGAGGACUGGAUGCCUUGCAAGCACCCUGGACAGAGUAGUGCUACUGCCAGAGGCUGGGGAAGCUAGAGACAAUUCCCGGCUGGCUGCUAAGACUGGCCUGCUGAGACCCUGAGAGAUGAGGAAAAACUUUUGGGUUAUUUAUAAAACCAGAAUAUGUUGAUAGGCAGUAGAUGGUACAACACCAUUCUCACAGGCAACUGAUGGACCCUGGGUCUCAACUGCUUCUUAAGAGGAGAUCAACAGGAUCUGCUGAUGCUAAAGAGGCCUGGGUCUGCGAUCACUCAAGGGUGA
Long non-coding RNA from Chelonia mydas (Green sea turtle), 307 nucleotides. RefSeq lists it as uncharacterized. NCBI's taxonomy places the organism in Eukaryota, Metazoa, Chordata, Testudines, Cheloniidae. The transcript has 3 exons. The record is from RefSeq and is a predicted model, not a curated record.